RNAcentral lists this transfer RNA (75 nucleotides) under Rhizoctonia solani AG-1 IB. RNAcentral's name for it is "tRNA-Val". It matches the Rfam family "tRNA". Rfam says of the family: Transfer RNA (tRNA) molecules are approximately 80 nucleotides in length. Their secondary structure includes four short double-helical elements and three loops (D, anti-codon, and T loops). Lineage: Eukaryota; Fungi; Basidiomycota; Agaricomycetes; Cantharellales; Ceratobasidiaceae. The record is from RNAcentral.
GGUCGCAUAGUCUAGUGGUUAUGAUAUCUGCUUUACAGACGCAGAGGGUCUCAGGUUCGAUCCCUGAUGCGACCA